CAAUCAGGCCUCGGCCCUAAACAUGCAAGUCGAGCGGAUGAGGGAGCUUGCUCCUGGAUUCAGCGGCGGACGGGUGAGUAAUGCCUAGGAAUCUGCCUGGUAGUGAGGGAUAACGUCCGGAAACGGGCGCUAAUACCGCAUACGUCCUGAGGGAGAAAGUGGGGGAUCUUCGGACCUCACGCUAUCAGAUGAGCCUAGGUCGGAUUAUCUAGUUGGUGGGGUAAAGGCCUACCAAGGCGACGAUCCGUAACUGGUCUGAGAGGAUGAUCACUCACACUGGAACUGAGACACGGUCCAGACUCCUACGGGAGGCAGCUGUGGGGAAUAUUGGACAAUGGGCGAAAGCCUGAUCCAGCCAUGCCGCGUGUGUGAAGAAGGUCUUCGGAUUGUAAAGCACUUUAAGUUGGGAGGAAGGGCAGUAAGUUAAUACCUUGCUGUUUUGACGUUACCAACAGAAUAAGCACCGGCUAACUUCGUGCCAGCAGCCGCGGUAAUACGAAGGGUGCAAGCGUUAAUCGGAAUUACUGGGCGUAAAGCGCGCGUAGGUGGUUCAGCAAGUUGGAUGUGAAAUCCCCGGGCUCAACCUGGGAACUGCAUCCAAAACUACUGAGCUAGAGUACGGUAGAGGGUGGUGGAAUUUCCUGUGUAGCGGUGAAUGCGUAAAUAUAGGAAGGAACACCAGUGGCGAAGGCGACCACCUGGACUGAUACCUGACACUGAGGUGCGAAAGCGUG
RNAcentral lists this ribosomal RNA (734 nucleotides) under Pseudomonas aeruginosa. It matches the Rfam family "Bacterial small subunit ribosomal RNA", at positions 31 to 763 of the family's 1533-position model. The record is from RNAcentral. Lineage: Bacteria; Pseudomonadati; Pseudomonadota; Gammaproteobacteria; Pseudomonadales; Pseudomonadaceae.